AUUGAACGCUGGCGGCAUGCUUUACACAUGCAAGUCGAACGGCAGCGCGGGGCAACCUGGCGGCGAGUGGCGAACGGGUGAGUAAUACAUCGGAACGUACCCAGAAGUGGGGGAUAACGUAGCGAAAGUUACGAUAAUACCGCAUACGUUCUACGGAAGAAAGUGGGGGACCUUCGGGCCUCAUGCUUUUGGAGCGGCCGAUGUCUGAUUAGCUAGUUGGUAGGGUAAAGGCCUACCAAGGCGACGAUCAGUAGCUGGUCUGAGAGGACGACCAGCCACACUGGGACUGAGACACGGCCCAGACUCCUACGGGAGGCAGCAGUGGGGAAUUUUGGACAAUGGGCGCAAGCCUGAUCCAGCAAUGCCGCGUGAGUGAAGAAGGCCUUCGGGUUGUAAAGCUCUUUUGUCAGGGAAGAAACGGCUGAGGUUAAUACCUUCGGCUAAUGACGGUACCUGAAGAAUAAGCACCGGCUAACUACGUGCCAGCAGCCGCCGUAA
Molecule: ribosomal RNA, 498 nt
Filed under: uncultured bacterium
Lineage: Bacteria
Description: partial 16S ribosomal RNA
Rfam family: Bacterial small subunit ribosomal RNA
Source: RNAcentral